AUUAAUAAGGAUGAGUCUAUUUUCAGCCAAUGCUUAUGAGUAAAUUUCUCUGAGCAUGCUAGACAAGAACAUUAUUACACACAAUUCUAGUCCUCAGCAUUCAUCUGUGAGAAGGUUUCUGGACAGAACCUCAAGAAAUUGACUUCACUCAAAUAAUGCUAAAGGCCAGAGUUGGGAGAGAAAUUGUCCUAUAUACUGCCCUGUGACAGGAGCUAAGCUCAACACUGGAGAUGGAGGUGAAACUGUGGACAAAAUAUAUGAGAGACUGAGGCACACGGAAAUUAAGUGACUUGCCUUCAAGAAGUCAGACCUUAGAAUCUGGUCACUGACCCCGCAUGGUGACUCAACAGUUAUUUUUCCAUUCACCUGCUAACCAUGGCCCCGAAUUAAAAUCGAUUAAAAAGUACAGCAAGAGACCUACAAGUACACUUACAGGAAGCCCAGAGGUAAUGAGACUCCUGAAGAAGCUGAAGAGCUAAUGAGUCAUCUGUGAAUAAACUACAAAUUUCUUUUUCA
Molecule: long non-coding RNA, 516 nt
Organism: Cervus elaphus (red deer)
Lineage: Eukaryota; Metazoa; Chordata; Mammalia; Artiodactyla; Cervidae
Exons: 3
Source: RefSeq, a predicted model, not a curated record